GGUUAAGCGACUAAGCGUACACGGUGGAUGCCCUGGCAGUCAGAGGCGAUGAAGGGCGUGCUAAUCUGCGAUAAGCGCCGGUAAGGUGAUAUGAACCGUUAUAACCGGCGAUACCCGAAUGGGGAAACCCAGUGUGAUUCGUCACACUAUCAUUAACUGAAUCCAUAGGUUAAUGAGGCGAACCGGGGGAACUGAAACAUCUAAGUACCCCGAGGAAAAGAAAUCAACCGAGAUUCCCCCAGUAGCGGCGAGCGAACGGGGAGGAGCCCAGAGCCUGAAUCAGCAUGUGUGUUAGUGGAAGCGUCUGGAAAGGCGCGCGAUACAGGGUGACAGCCCCGUACACAAAAGCGCAUAUGCUGUGAGCUCGAUGAGUAGGGCGGGACACGUGGUAUCCUGUCUGAAUAUGGGGGGACCAUCCUCCAAGGCUAAAUACUCCUGACUGACCGAUAGUGAACCAGUACCGUGAGGGAAAGGCGAAAAGAACCCCGGCGAGGGGAGUGAAAAAGAACCUGAAACCGUGUACGUACAAGCAGUGGGAGCCCCACCACUAAGCCAGUGGUGAACUCCACAUACGCAUCCUUUGCUGAGGAUACGGUUAACGGAGCGAAAGCGACGUUCAACCUCAAAAGAAGCAGAGGGGGCUUAGUGGUGGGGUGACUGCGUACCUUUUGUAUAAUGGGUCAGCGACUUAUAUUCUGUAGCAAGGUUAACCGAAUAGGGGAGCCGGAGGGAAACCGAGUCUUAAU
RNAcentral lists this ribosomal RNA (746 nucleotides) under Salmonella enterica. RNAcentral's name for it is "partial 23S ribosomal RNA". It matches the Rfam family "Bacterial large subunit ribosomal RNA", at positions 1 to 688 of the family's 2925-position model. The record is from RNAcentral. Lineage: Bacteria; Pseudomonadati; Pseudomonadota; Gammaproteobacteria; Enterobacterales; Enterobacteriaceae.